RNAcentral lists this unclassified non-coding RNA (214 nucleotides) under Leucopenicillifer sp. RNAcentral describes it as "partial contains 5.8S ribosomal RNA, internal transcribed spacer 2, and large subunit ribosomal RNA". Lineage: Eukaryota; Fungi; Ascomycota. The record is from RNAcentral.
AACGCACAUUGCGCCUCUAGUAACUUGGAGGCAUGCCUGUCUGAGCGUCAUUUAAAACCAUAAACUCAACUGAGUCUGUAUUGGGCGUCGUCCUCGGACGUAGCCUCAAAGUCAUCGGUCUUAUACGCGGACGAGCUCCAUUAGGACAGACCGUGUGUGGACUUUAAAUCUCUGACUUGACCUCAGAUCAGGUAGGACUACCGCCUGAACUUAA